RNAcentral lists this transfer RNA (70 nucleotides) under Ictidomys tridecemlineatus (thirteen-lined ground squirrel). RNAcentral describes it as "Spermophilus tridecemlineatus (thirteen-lined ground squirrel) tRNA". It matches the Rfam family "tRNA". Rfam says of the family: Transfer RNA (tRNA) molecules are approximately 80 nucleotides in length. Their secondary structure includes four short double-helical elements and three loops (D, anti-codon, and T loops). Further hydrogen bonds mediate the characteristic L-shaped molecular structure. tRNAs have two regions of fundamental functional importance: the anti-codon, which is responsible for specific mRNA codon recognition, and the 3' end, to which the tRNAs corresponding amino acid is attached (by aminoacyl-tRNA synthetases). tRNAs cope with the degeneracy of the genetic code in two manners: having more than one tRNA (with a specific anti-codon) for a particular amino acid; and 'wobble' base-pairing, i.e. permitting non-standard base-pairing at the 3rd anti-codon position. Lineage: Eukaryota; Metazoa; Chordata; Mammalia; Rodentia; Sciuridae. The record is from Rfam by way of RNAcentral.
AGGGUUAUAGCUCAGUUGGUAGAGCACUUGCCUAGCAUGCAUGAGGCACUGGGUUCGAUCCUCAGCACUA